AUUGAACGCUGGCGGCAGGCCUAACACAUGCAAGUCGAGCGCGAAAGUUCUUCGGAAUGAGUAAAGCGGCGGACGGGUGAGUAAUACAUGGGAAUCUGCCUGGUAGUGAGGGACAACGUUUCGAAAGGAACGCUAAUACCGCAUACGCCCUACGGGGGAAAGGGGGGGAUCUUCGGACCUCUCGCUAUCAGAUGAGCCCA
This 200-nucleotide ribosomal RNA is filed under the name uncultured bacterium. RNAcentral describes it as "partial 16S ribosomal RNA". It matches the Rfam family "Bacterial small subunit ribosomal RNA", at positions 30 to 233 of the family's 1533-position model. The record is from RNAcentral.